UACGAAGGGGGCUAGCGUUGCUCGGAAUGACUGGGCGUAAAGGGCGCGUAGGCGGAUGUGACAGUCAGACGUGAAAUUCCUGGGCUCAACCUGGGGGCUGCGUUUGAUACGUCAUAUCUUGAGUGAGGAAGAGGGUCGUGGAAUUCCCAGUGUAGAGGUGAAAUUCGUAGAUAUUGGGAAGAACACCGGUGGCGAAGGCGGCGACCUGGUCCUUUACUGACGCUGAGGCGCGAAAGCGUGGGGAG
This 245-nucleotide ribosomal RNA is filed under the name uncultured bacterium. RNAcentral's name for it is "partial 16S ribosomal RNA". It matches the Rfam family "Bacterial small subunit ribosomal RNA", at positions 524 to 768 of the family's 1533-position model. The record is from RNAcentral.